GCAAGAUUGAAAAGAUGGCCUCUGCAAAAGGAACCAAGGAGACAAGAACACUGAACAAAUAAUCACAUUCUUCAUUGUUCAGUCUAAUCCCGAAGAACUUUCUGAUAGGAUGGCAUGUUCUAUAUCGACACUGUUUAAUCUAGUAGCUUCUGUCUCCAUGUUGCUUGUGGACAUUUGGCUAGUGCCACAGAAGAACUGAAUUUUUAAUUGUAUUUAAUUUCUAAUUAAAUAGUCACGUAGAGAUAGUGUCUGGUGUCGUGGAUGGCACAGGUUUAAUGCUGUGAUAGCAAAUGCUCAGAACUGAGUAUAUACUUGAUGCUGAAGGCUUCAUGUACAAUCCCCUGUGAUGGGUGCUAUCAUCAUUGUUACCACGAGUAAGAAGGAAGUCCUUAGGUCGGACAAGGUAGUACUCAUCUAUAGUCCCAGCUACACGGAAGGCUGAGGAGGGAGGGUUACUUGAGCCCAGAAGUUCAGAACCAGCCUGGGUAACAUAGUGAGACCCAUUUAAAAAAAAAAAAAGCAAUCAAAGUCCAUUCAUUCAUCUAUACUCUAUUAUUAAUAAUAGACUAUUUUUAAUUACCAUUUCAGAUUCUCAGGGAUAAUAGAGUUACCAUUAUUCACUCUACCUGGUUCCUAUUAGUAGCAUCUUUAUUAAUAUGAUGCCAUUAAAAUGGACCAAUACUGGUAACUUUGGUUUUGUUCUUUUUCU
Molecule: long non-coding RNA, 709 nt
Filed under: Marmota monax (woodchuck)
Lineage: Eukaryota; Metazoa; Chordata; Mammalia; Rodentia; Sciuridae
Source: RNAcentral